UGGGGAAUAUUGCACAAUGGGCGCAAGCCUGAUGCAGCCAUGCCGCGUGUGUGAAGAAGGCCUUCGGGUUGUAAAGCACUUUCAGCGGGGAGGAAGGCGAUAAGGUUAAUAACCUUGUCGAUUGACGUUACCCGCAGAAGAAGCACCGGCUAACUCCGUGCCAGCAGCCGCGGUAAUACGGAGGGUGCAAGCGUUAAUCGGAAUUACUGGGCGUAAAGCGCACGCAGGCGGUCUGUCAAGUCGGAUGUGAAAUCCCCGGGCUUAACCUGGGAACUGCAUUCGAAACUGGCAGGCUAGAGUCUUGUAGGGGGGGGUAGAAGUCCUGGUGUAGCGGUGAAAUGCGUAGAGAUCUGGAGGAAUACCGGUGGCGAAGGCGGCCCCCUGGACAAAGACUGACGCUCAGGUGCGAAGGCGUGGGGAGCAAACAGG
RNAcentral lists this ribosomal RNA (429 nucleotides) under Chloroflexota bacterium. Its description in RNAcentral is "Chloroflexi bacterium partial 16S ribosomal RNA". It matches the Rfam family "Bacterial small subunit ribosomal RNA", at positions 355 to 776 of the family's 1533-position model. The record is from RNAcentral. Lineage: Bacteria; Bacillati; Chloroflexota.